Molecule: unclassified non-coding RNA, 253 nt
Filed under: uncultured Cytophagaceae bacterium
Lineage: Bacteria; Pseudomonadati; Bacteroidota; Cytophagia; Cytophagales; Cytophagaceae
Description: contains 16S-23S intergenic spacer region
Rfam family: Bacterial small subunit ribosomal RNA
Source: RNAcentral
UACGGAGGGUGCAAGCGUUGUCCGGAUUUAUUGGGUUUAAAGGGUGCGUAGGCGGCUCUUUAAGUCAGUGGUGAAAGUCUGCGGCUUAACCGUAGGAUUGCCAUUGAUACUGAAGAGCUUGAGUAUAGUUGAGGUAGGCGGAAUUGACAGUGUAGCGGUGAAAUGCAUAGAUAUUGUCAAGAACACCGAUUGCGUAGGCAGCUUACUAAGCUAUAACUGACGCUGAGGCACGAAAGUGUGGGGAUCAAACAGG